AUACGUAGGGGGCAAGCGUUAUCCGGAAUCACUGGGCGUAAAGGGUGCGUAGGUGGCUUAUCAAGCCAGGGGUGAAAGGCAUUGGCUCAACCAAUGUAAGCCUUUGGAACUGAUAGGCUUGAGUGCAGGAGAGGUAAGUGGAAUUCCUAGUGUAGAGGUGAAAUUCGUAGAUAUUAGGAGGAACACCAGUGGCGAAGGCGACUUACUGGACUGUAACUGACACUGAGGUGCGAAAGCGUGGGGAGC
Molecule: ribosomal RNA, 246 nt
Filed under: uncultured bacterium
Lineage: Bacteria
Description: partial 16S ribosomal RNA
Rfam family: Bacterial small subunit ribosomal RNA
Source: RNAcentral